UUGUUUGAGCCCCUCACCAUGAAUAAGAUUCUAGCACCCUCACUUGAGAUCAAGGAAGAAGCUACAAGCACCCCACCAACACCACCGCCCUCCGAGGUCACCUUGGAGAUACAAGAGCUAGUCCCGCUUAGAGAAGAGUACGACACCAUCCUGCAAUCUUUGUCGUCGCUAGAAGAAGUCAUCAACAUCAGCUAUCUCUUGACCCAUCCAGAAGAUGUCUCAGAAUGA
This 228-nucleotide unclassified non-coding RNA is filed under the name Zea mays. RNAcentral's name for it is "misc RNA Zm00001eb138440". Lineage: Eukaryota; Viridiplantae; Streptophyta; Magnoliopsida; Poales; Poaceae. The record is from RNAcentral.